UCAACGUGUAUGCCACUUCACUGACAUGAGACAUCAUCUGAUUUUUUGUCACUCUGUCACUUAAUUGAUUUGUCACAUUUCAGAAGUGAAUAAAAUAAACUAGAUAAUUUCAUUGUGUUAAAAUUAUAUUAAGCUUCAUAAUGGAAUCCGAAGUAGUAAAAGAGAAAAUCCACACAGAGCCUAUGCUCAACGAUCCUCGCUAUAUUACCUUAUUGAGUUUGAUAGUUCUCAUUUUUACACUCGUUUUCUGGUGGUGUUUCUCCCGGCGUCGCACUCUCCGCAAGUCCGUGCUGUUGAUGGGCCUGUCCGACUCGGGCAAGACCCUGCUCUUUGUGAGGCUGGUCUAUUCACAGUUUAGACAAACAUUCACUUCUAUGAAAGAAAAUGUUGAGGAAUACAUAACUUCAAGUAAAUCAUUAAGACUUGUAGACUUACCUGGACAAGAGAGGUUGAGGAACAAAUUCUUUGACCAAUACAAAAGUAGUGCUAAAGCUAUUGUGUAUGUCAUUGACUCUGUUACCAUUCAAAAGGAAAUAAGAGAUGUCGCUGAAUAUUUGUACACUAUUUUGUCUGACCCUGUUACCCAGAGCAAUACACCACCAGUAUUAAUAUUGUGUAACAAGCAAGAUCAGCCGAUGGCUAAGGGGAGUCAAGUUAUCAAGAGCUUGUUGGAAAAAGAAAUAAAUCUAGUGCGUGUGACCAAGUCAAACCAACUCCAAUCGGUGGAUCCAUCGCAGAGCAACAAUGCGACAUACCUCGGCAAAAUCGGCAAGGAUUUCGAAUUCUCCCACAUCAACAUCCGCGUGGACAUUGCCGAAUGUUCGGCGAACACCGGCGACGACGAAAACCCCGUCGACAUCAAAACUGUCCAAGACUGGAUUUCCAAACUUUAAAUUAGGAUUAAAAUAAAUUUUGGCAUUUAAUAAGGUUUCCUAAGCCAAAAAAAAUAAACGUUUGCUUAAACAAGUCUCGAAUUUUACUCCUGCAAACAUUUUAUCAAAUUACUUUGAAUAUUUUUGUAUAUUUGUAUUACAUAUCGAAAACAUUUUUUUGGUAUAUGAUUCUCAAAUUGUAAUACUUAUGCAUUUAGUAUUUUGUAAGUCAAUAUUUUCUCGAGAAAUAAAUGACUGAUUUUUA
This 1137-nucleotide unclassified non-coding RNA is filed under the name Manduca sexta (tobacco hornworm). RNAcentral's name for it is "signal recognition particle receptor subunit beta, transcript variant X1". Lineage: Eukaryota; Metazoa; Arthropoda; Insecta; Lepidoptera; Sphingidae. The record is from RNAcentral.